UACGAAGGGGGCUAGCGUUGCUCGGAAUGACUGGGCGUAAAGGGCGCGUAGGCGGAUGGUACAGUCAGAUGUGAAAUUCCUGGGCUCAACCUGGGGGCUGCAUUUGAUACGUGCUGUCUUGAGUUCGGAAGAGGGUCGUGGAAUUCCCAGUGUAGAGGUGAAAUUCGUAGAUAUUGGGAAGAACACCGGUGGCGAAGGCGGCGACCUGGUCCGAUACUGACGCUGAGGCGCGAAAGCGUGGGGGAGCAAACAGG
Molecule: ribosomal RNA, 254 nt
Filed under: uncultured bacterium
Lineage: Bacteria
Description: partial 16S ribosomal RNA
Rfam family: Bacterial small subunit ribosomal RNA
Source: RNAcentral